GCCGGUAGAGCUGCUGUAUAACGGAGCAGGAGCUCCAACGCAACACACAAACUCUCUCUAUUUGCCGACUGAAAGUUUGCAACUUUACUGAGAUCCAAAGAUGAUUGUAACGGCGAAGCUAAGAUUGAUGAAAACCAUGUGUUUUGCUUCAGCUUUCAGGAGCUUCCGCUUUCCAUUGCUAAGGGAAUUGGGAAUGGGUAACUUUCAAUCUCCAACCCUAUUAUUUACUUGUUCUUUCCAUUCUUCUUCGAGAGCAACUUCCGCUCACACGCAUAAAGAUGCAAGCUUGAUAUCUAAAUUCAAUUCUGCUUCUUUUAGGGACGUUG
RNAcentral lists this unclassified non-coding RNA (326 nucleotides) under Hevea brasiliensis (rubber tree). Lineage: Eukaryota; Viridiplantae; Streptophyta; Magnoliopsida; Malpighiales; Euphorbiaceae. The record is from RNAcentral.